Triplophysa rosa is the source of this 1703-nucleotide long non-coding RNA. RefSeq lists it as uncharacterized. The transcript has 2 exons. The record is from RefSeq and is a predicted model, not a curated record. NCBI's taxonomy places the organism in Eukaryota, Metazoa, Chordata, Actinopteri, Cypriniformes, Nemacheilidae.
ACACUUUUGCAUUUGUGUGAGCUAAAGUGAUGUAAAAAGCCAAUGUACAUGACUUAAAGAUCACGUAUGACAGGCAGUUUCUGCCAACCUCAUAUUAAGCUUGAGUGCCUCUACACACUGUAAAAAGUGAUUCGUGGCCGUAGUAAAUAUGGCUCAAUUAAAUAGGCUGAUUUUCCUCAAAAAAAUAGGUUUUGCAAAUUACUUAAUUUCUUUUAUAAAUGUUACAAAAUUUAUUGAGAUUGCAGUUUGCUUAAAAUAAUGAGUAAACACAGCAAGUAAUGUUUAGUAAAGUCGCAUGAAUCUGGUUAUUAGUCAAUUUGACAAAACAUUUUAAGAUUUGGUUAGAUCAUGUGACACAGCAGCGGCCAUUUUCUGAAAACCAUCUCCUCAGACGAUAAAGGUGAGUAAACUUAACUUGUUUUAUACUAAAAUGUUUAAUAAAAUAAAUCCCACCAAUAGUGUGAACAUACAUGUUUCUUAGUGUUUUCAUUUUAAAUGAGUUUAAUUGUGGUGCUGCACAUUUCUUAGUGUUUUAAAUAAGCUCCUAGAUGUACAGAAACAUGUGUGCACAGCGCUUCAACUUUUGUGAGAAGAAAGUUUAUUUAAGUUGCUUAAAUGAGAUUUAUGGUAAACAAUCACGAUUGCCUACUUUUAUGAAGGCAUGAAAACACGUUGAUAGUUAUAUUCGCCGUCCAGCUCCUUGAGCUUUUUAGUUUCAAUUUGACACAACGCGCCACAUUAACAGACAACGUUUUUAAGUGAGUUAAAAAGAGCGCGAAGCCGUCAUUGCUUUAUUUCAAACCUUUCAUCUGUUUGUCUAUACCGCCUGCAAACGCGACAAACGCCUUGUUGUUAAUGGUUUCUGUUAUCUUUUGUCAUGUCGCAUCUUGAGGUGCGGACAGGGUGUGACCGCUUACCGUGAGCUAGAAGUGCGAGGCGGAGGCUGGAACAGCGGGCUCAAAUCUCUAUUCAUUGUGUUGGUUAGAAACUUCCUUAAAACGGCACACUGUCACUUUGCAGACACGAUAGAGGAGAAUAGUGUCGGCUAAGACUAGUGAUUAAUUUAUGUUUUAUUGUAGUACUUAUAUAAUUGUUUGUGUCAUAAAUGCAUAUUUUGCAUACUGAGCAGUGUAAGUGAACAAAACACAGUAGUGUUAAGUACAAUCAACUUUGUUAGUGUGACAUUAUGGCAAUGUUGUGAAGUUCUGGUAAAGUUCCAUUAUGUGACUUUAAUAUCUUUGUUUUAUAUUUUAGGAAAGCCAAUUCCUGAAUGAAUGUUAAAAAAAUCUUGGGAGACCUAAUUUUCAUAGCGAGUAACUUAUACAGAACUGGACAAUAAUGGUGAAGUUAAUCAACCUUGCGGAGCACACAGUAAUCACCAGAGGGGGGAUCUCCAGAUACUCCAGAUCUCCAUAUUCAGCUCAACACCACACGUAACAUGCAAGCAUACAAGACCACACAAACAUUAUAUAAAUAACAUAACUCUACACGGUUAUCAAACGCACAUACACACUCAUGCAUACAACACCACAAAUAUUAAAAACCACUAGCCAUGUUGAUGGUUACUGUUGUUAUAAUGUUUCAGAAUGUUUGUUGUUUAGUAUCGUUUAUUUGUUUUUGUUGUACAAUGAAAUUUACAUUUCUGAACUGCUGUAUGUUUCAUGUUUAAAUUAUUCAGUAAAAAAAUAAAGCUUUUAACAUUU